Molecule: small RNA, 80 nt
Filed under: Marmota monax (woodchuck)
Lineage: Eukaryota; Metazoa; Chordata; Mammalia; Rodentia; Sciuridae
Source: RNAcentral
GCUGGGCGUGGUGGUGUACACCUGUAAUCCCAGCAACUCAGGAGGCUGAGGCAGGACUGUAAAUUCAAGACCAGCCUCAA